This is a long non-coding RNA of Tachysurus fulvidraco (yellow catfish), 963 nucleotides long. RefSeq lists it as uncharacterized. The transcript has 3 exons. The record is from RefSeq and is a predicted model, not a curated record. Lineage: Eukaryota; Metazoa; Chordata; Actinopteri; Siluriformes; Bagridae.
UCCUAUAGACCAAUACAACUUUGUUUGUUUUUUAAAAUUACAUAUACACAAAAAUUACAGAACAUUUUUAGCUCCUCCCAGAAGAUAUAGUAUAAAUAACCUUGUACAGCUCUUCAGAAACAAGAGCAACAUUUUUGUAAACAUUUCAUAAACAGAGGCCUGAUACUACAUUGACAACAUGGAAGCCUUCUUUGGAACAUGGAAACUCAAAAAAGUGAACCUUGAUCAAUUUAUGAAAGCAGUCGGUGUACAUCUGAUGAUUCUAAUCUAACUGAGACUUUUUCCAAAGAGGGAGACCGAUUUGUCUGGAAAAUAAAGAGAGGCCAUGAAGGCAAAGAAAUAAAGUUCAAACUGGAUAAAGCGUUCCAGGACGGAGUCAUUGUACUGUAAGUGCUUUGAAAUCAUUUCCACAUCAGUCGUUAUAUAAACUGUUGAAUUUUCUCUCAAUACGAGAGUGUAGUCUUUGCAUGAAGCUGAUCUUGUUUUAUUUAUUUUUAUUCUUUUUGCCAUCCAACUGGUAUUUUAUAUUUUUCUCUAGAAUACCAUAAGUCUUAAGGGAAAACAAAUGGUACAGGUGAAGAAAUGGGGUACUAAAGAAAUCAUAAUUACCCGUGACAUUAAUGCCAAUAUCAUGAUUAUGACUCUGUCAUUUGGUGGUGUUCAAGGACAACGCAUUUAUCAGAAAGUUUAAUCAUUAUUCAGUGAUAAUAGCUGUAAAGCUUUGUUUUGAAUAAGUUAUAUGAAUAAUUUAAUCAUUAGUAAGAUAUCAAUGUGCACACAAUUACACAGAACACAAUAUUAUUGUAAGUUACAUGCUUCAGUUUAUAUUACUGGGACACUAAAUGGUGCAACGUAUCUGAUUUAAUAUAAGGAUGAAGUGCAUGUAACUUCUGUACUCAAGUCUUUUAGGAUUUUUUGAUGAUAUACUGCUACACAAAAGAAAACCUCUACUUAUAAAACUUA